Molecule: ribosomal RNA, 750 nt
Filed under: uncultured bacterium
Lineage: Bacteria
Description: bacterial SSU rRNA
Rfam family: Bacterial small subunit ribosomal RNA
Source: RNAcentral
GUCGAACGGCAGCACGGAGAGCUUGCUCUCUGGUGGCGAGUGGCGAACGGGUGAGUAAUAUAUCGGAACGUGUCCAAUAAUGGGGGAUAACGAGUCGAAAGAUUCGCUAAUACCGCAUACGCCCUACGGGGGAAAGCAGGGGAUCGUAAGACCUUGCGUUAAUGGAGCGGCCGAUAUCUGAUUAGCUAGUUGGUGAGGUAAAGGCUCACCAAGGCGACGAUCAGUAGCUGGUUUGAGAGAACGACCAGCCACACUGGAACUGAGACACGGUCCAGACUCCUACGGGAGGCAGCAGUGGGGAAUUUUGGACAAUGGGGGCAACCCUGAUCCAGCCAUUCCGCGUGAGUGAAGAAGGCCUUCGGGUUGUAAAGCUCUUUCGCAAGGGAAGAAAACUUAUGAUCGAAUAAAUCAUGAGGUUGACGGUACCUUGAUAAGAAGCACCGGCUAACUACGUGCCAGCAGCCGCGGUAAUACGUAGGGUGCGAGCGUUAAUCGGAAUUACUGGGCGUAAAGCGUGCGCAGGCGGUUUUGUAAGUCGGAUGUGAAAUCCCCGGGCUCAACCUGGGAACUGCGUUCGAAACUGCAAGGCUAGAGUGUGUCAGAGGGGGGUAGAAUUCCCGUGUAGCAGUGAAAUGCGUAGAGAUGUGGAGGAAUACCAAUGGCGAAGGCAGCCCCCUGGGAUAACACUGACGCUCAUGCACGAAAGCGUGGGGAGCAAACAGGAUUAGAUACCCUGGUAGUCCACGCCCU